GUGGACACGGCAACCAAGCCGCGACGAUGUCACCUAACGUACCCCUACUCGUGCAGGUUGGUGACUGGAAAUAUGGUUUCCGUAGUGACGAUCCUUGCUUAAUAGUGUUGCCGUCUCCACACACCAUUCUAAACUGCAUAAGUGACUGUUUUGCGCUAGCGGGUCUGUUGCUUUCACUGUCGGGAGAUAUCGAGCAAAACCCUGGGCCUAUUACGGAUGCAAUGUUUAAGGAACUGCUAGAAACGCAAAAAACUAUCUUGUCUAAAA
This is a long non-coding RNA of Rhipicephalus sanguineus (brown dog tick), 267 nucleotides long. RefSeq lists it as uncharacterized. Lineage: Eukaryota; Metazoa; Arthropoda; Arachnida; Ixodida; Ixodidae. The transcript has 2 exons. The record is from RefSeq and is a predicted model, not a curated record.